RNAcentral lists this ribosomal RNA (433 nucleotides) under uncultured bacterium. RNAcentral's name for it is "partial 16S ribosomal RNA". It matches the Rfam family "Bacterial small subunit ribosomal RNA", at positions 29 to 507 of the family's 1533-position model. The record is from RNAcentral.
AACGAACGCUGGCGGCAUGCCUAACACAUGCAAGUCGAACGAGACCUUCGGGUCUAGUGGCGCACGGGUGCGUAACGCGUGGGAACCUGCCCUUAGGUUCGGAAUAACUCCCCGAAAGGGGUGCUAAUACCGGAUAAUGUCUUCGGACCAAAGAUUUAUCGCCUUUGGAUGGGCCUGCGUUGGAUUAGCUAGUUGGUAGGGUAAAAGCCUACCAAGGCGACGAUCCAUAGCUGGUCUGAGAGGAUGAUCAGCCACACUGGGACUGAGACACGGCCCAGAAUCCUACGGGAGGCAGCAGUGGGGAAUAUUGGACAAUGGGCGAAAGCCUGAUCCAGCAAUGCCGCGUGAGUGAUGAAGGCCUUAGGGUUGUAAAGCUCUUUUACACGGGAUGAUAAUGACAGUACCGGGAGAAUAAGCUCCGGCUAACUCCGUG